This 1947-nucleotide unclassified non-coding RNA is filed under the name Leishmania donovani. Its description in RNAcentral is "gene:LdHU3.17.1030(CDS-product:Acyl_CoA_binding_p rotein_putative)". Lineage: Eukaryota; Euglenozoa; Kinetoplastea; Trypanosomatida; Trypanosomatidae. The record is from RNAcentral.
ACUCACCACCUUUUCAAGCCUCUGCCAUUUCAUUCUUCUAUCAAUUUUGUCAAACCUUCUAGCAAGGUGCUUGAAAAUAGUACGUUAACUCCCUUACCCUUCCCCUAAACACACGUACACGCACCACACUUGAGCUAUGUCUGCCGCUGACUUCGAGGCCGCCGUGGCGUACGUGCGCUCCCUGCCCAAGGACGGUCCAGUGCAGCUGGACAACGCCGCCAAGCUUCAGUUUUACUCCCUGUACAAGCAGGCGACGGAGGGUGACGUGACAGGCAACCAGCCGUGGGCCGUGCAGGUCGAGGCGCGUGCCAAGUGGGAUGCGUGGAACUCUCGCAAGGGCAUGCGGUCGGAGGACGCCAAGGCGGCGUACGUGCAGUGCCUGAUCGAGGUCACAUCCCAGAAGGGCCACCCGUGGAACCCUGCGUAGGCAUUCGACGCAAAUAAGCAGCGUGGGCGUGCACGCGCGGCGCACGCACCGGCCACAGACUAAACGAGUGUUAAACCGCACACGUCCCUCUGUCUGUGCGCGGGGUCUUUCUGCAUGCAGUGUCGCGCAUUGCAGUGCCCGUGUGCGGUUUUCGAUGACGUUAGACCGCGCGGCAGCUCAUUCACGACAUUAAGGCAGGAGAGAAGCAUGAACUGUGCCGAAGAGCACGAGGAGAGAAAAGGAUACAAGGGGUUGGGUGGAGCGGGUGUGUAGAAGUGCCACCGCUGCCUAGGGAAGCUGUAAUCGCAGAACGAAGUUUGCGGUUUCUCGGUUGGGGCCUGCGCGCUGGUGCGUGAGUCGGAGGCGAGAGAGGGAGAGGAGGGGCACCCAAAGACGCACGCACCUGCUUCCGGCGUGUCUAUCGGCCACUCCCUGUGCUUGUCUUUCUCUCGUCAAGUACUACGCUGCUUCUCCGUCCUCCUCACCCACACCUACACCCACCAUCCCUCUCUUUACUUAUCCAACCGUGUGGACAUCUCGCGCGCAUUUCUCUCCUCGUUCUGCUUCACACUGCGUUGGUGCGCUUGCUGUUGCUUCGUCCCCCUCCUCCGCUUCCUUCCUUCCCUCCCUCCCUCCUCCUCUUUUCUAUGUCUAUGUUUUCCUGUCUAUAAGUGAUUGGCUGUCUGUCCACCUUUUCGUCAAAUUUCUUCUGUCUUGUGCUGCUGUUGUGAUGGACGUGCCCGCCAACACACAUUGAGCCUGCGCAUCAUUGUUGCUCUCGACGUCACAAACACACCGAAACAUGUUGGACUUUUAUUAGCUGUGUUUUGCUUCGCCGCUCCCUCAAUGUGAGUCCACGUCUCUUCCACACAGCAUGAGGUCCCGUUCCACUCUCGAGCCUCCGACCCUGCCCUGCCACAGGCCACCCGUCGCGUGGCGCGAAGCAGCCGUAGACACACGCCGGCGCGGCACUGCGCCAACUCGGGCAUCGCAGCACGGCCUCUGCCUCGAGCCCUCCUCACCCACCCGCCUUGCAGUGCCGCCUCACAGCCGCUCCCCAUUUGUGCCGGUGGCCGCGUGGUGCAUCUCCCGCGGUGGCGCAGGCUCCCUCCACCGGUGGGCGGCGAGGGCGGGGCGGGAUGUGCUCGAGUCGCGCUGGCGCCUCGUCGAUCGUAUGGAUGGUGCAGGCGUGCUCGCGGUCUCGGGUCGCUCCGACGCCACGCCGUCGAGGGUGUGGCCGUCGGCAUCGGUGGCGAUGAGGCGCCCUGACUUUGCCACGUCGCAGGCGCUCGGCCCUGUGACCGCCGGAAGUGGCUCUGGCACUUGGCAGGGACAGAGGGACCGCCUGGCUUCCUCACACAGUGGGGGUGCUGGACCCUGAGAUGCCACGCACGGAGGUCUCCCCAGCUAUCAGGGUAUGAGGGUGGUUGGGGAUGAAAAGAAAAACAAUGCGCUUCCACUCCUCUUUCGCCGCUGCGGUCCCCCCUGCCGCUGUUCUUCGCAGAGCUGCCAACCACUUG